This 76-nucleotide transfer RNA is filed under the name Medicago truncatula (barrel medic). Its description in RNAcentral is "tRNA gene28759". It matches the Rfam family "tRNA". Rfam says of the family: Transfer RNA (tRNA) molecules are approximately 80 nucleotides in length. Lineage: Eukaryota; Viridiplantae; Streptophyta; Magnoliopsida; Fabales; Fabaceae. The record is from RNAcentral.
AUCCGUUGUAGUCUAGUUGGUCAGGAUAUUCGGCUCUCACCCGAAAGACCCGGGUUCAAGUCCCGGCAACGGAAAU